Ictidomys tridecemlineatus (thirteen-lined ground squirrel) is the source of this 83-nucleotide non-coding RNA. NCBI's taxonomy places the organism in Eukaryota, Metazoa, Chordata, Mammalia, Rodentia, Sciuridae. The record is from Rfam.
GUACUCUUUGGUUACAGUUGUUCAACCAGUUACUAAUCUAACUAACUGUAACCGGUUGAACAACUGAACCCAAAGGGUGCAAA